RNAcentral lists this transfer RNA (76 nucleotides) under Marinobacter sp. Its description in RNAcentral is "tRNA-Phe". It matches the Rfam family "tRNA". From Rfam's summary of the family: Transfer RNA (tRNA) molecules are approximately 80 nucleotides in length. Their secondary structure includes four short double-helical elements and three loops (D, anti-codon, and T loops). Further hydrogen bonds mediate the characteristic L-shaped molecular structure. tRNAs have two regions of fundamental functional importance: the anti-codon, which is responsible for specific mRNA codon recognition, and the 3' end, to which the tRNAs corresponding amino acid is attached (by aminoacyl-tRNA synthetases). tRNAs cope with the degeneracy of the genetic code in two manners: having more than one tRNA (with a specific anti-codon) for a particular amino acid; and 'wobble' base-pairing, i.e. permitting non-standard base-pairing at the 3rd anti-codon position. Lineage: Bacteria; Pseudomonadati; Pseudomonadota; Gammaproteobacteria; Pseudomonadales; Marinobacteraceae. The record is from RNAcentral. RNAcentral also lists the same sequence under 27 other names.
GGCUCGGUAGCUCAGUCGGUAGAGCAAAGGACUGAAAAUCCUUGUGUCGGCAGUUCGAUUCUGCCCCGCGCCACCA